CCUACGGGGGGCUGCAGUGGGGAAUAUUGCACAAUGGGGGAAACCCUGAUGCAGCAACGCCGCGUGAGCGAAGAAGGCCUUCGGGUCGUAAAGCUCUGUCCUAAGGGCAGAAAAAUGACGGUACCUUAGGAGGAAGCCCCGGCUAACUACGUGCCAGCAGCCGGGGUAAUACGUAGGGGGGGAGCGUUAGCCGGAAUCCCUGGGCGUAAAGGGUGCGUAGGCGGCCGAUUAAGCCAGAGGUGAAAGGAUAGGGCUUAACCGUAGUAAGCCUUUGGCACUGAUUGGCUUGAGUGCAGGAGAGGAGCGUGGAAUUCCUAGGGUCGCGGUGAAAUGCGCAGAUAUUAGGAGGAACACCAGGGGCGAAGGCGACUCUCUGGACUGUAACUGACGCUGAGGCACGAAAGCGUGGGGAGCAAACAGGAUUAGAUACCCGAGUAGUC
This 440-nucleotide ribosomal RNA is filed under the name uncultured bacterium. RNAcentral describes it as "bacterial SSU rRNA". It matches the Rfam family "Bacterial small subunit ribosomal RNA", at positions 338 to 795 of the family's 1533-position model. The record is from RNAcentral.